UACGUAGGGUGCGAGCGUUGUCCGGAAUUAUUGGGCGUAAAGAGCUCGUAGGCGGUGUGUCACGUCGAUCGUGAAAACUUACAGCUUAACUGUGAGCGUGCGGUCGAUACGGGCAUCACUGGAGUUCGGCAGGGGAGACUGGAAUUCCUGGUGUAGCGGUGAAAUGCGCAGAUAUCAAGUGGAACACCAGUGGCGAAGGCGAGUCUCUGGACAUUUCCUGACGCUGAGGCACGAAAGCCAGGGGAGCAAACGGG
RNAcentral lists this ribosomal RNA (254 nucleotides) under uncultured bacterium. RNAcentral's name for it is "partial 16S ribosomal RNA". It matches the Rfam family "Bacterial small subunit ribosomal RNA", at positions 524 to 776 of the family's 1533-position model. The record is from RNAcentral.